This 1346-nucleotide ribosomal RNA is filed under the name uncultured bacterium. RNAcentral describes it as "partial 16S ribosomal RNA". It matches the Rfam family "Bacterial small subunit ribosomal RNA", at positions 28 to 1381 of the family's 1533-position model. The record is from RNAcentral.
GACGAACGCUGGCGGCGUGCUUAACACAUGCAAGUCGAACGGAAAGGCCCUGCUUUUGUGGGGUGCUCGAGUGGCGAACGGGUGAGUAACACGUGAGUAACCUGCCCUUGACUUUGGGAUAACUUCAGGAAACUGGGGCUAAUACCGGAUAGGAGCUCCUGCUGCAUGGUGGGGGUUGGAAAGUUUCGGCGGUUGGGGAUGGACUCGCGGCUUAUCAGCUUGUUGGUGGGGUAGUGGCUUACCAAGGCUUUGACGGGUAGCCGGCCUGAGAGGGUGACCGGCCACAUUGGGACUGAGAUACGGCCCAGACUCCUACGGGAGGCAGCAGUGGGGAAUAUUGCACAAUGGGCGGAAGCCUGAUGCAGCAACGCCGCGUGCGGGAUGACGGCCUUCGGGUUGUAAACCGCUUUCGCCUGUGACGAAGCGUGAGUGACGGUAAUGGGUAAAGAAGCACCGGCUAACUACGUGCCAGCAGCCGCGGUGAUACGUAGGGUGCGAGCGUUGUCCGGAUUUAUUGGGCGUAAAGGGCUCGUAGGUGGUUGAUCGCGUCGGAAGUGUAAUCUUGGGGCUUAACCCUGAGCGUGCUUUCGAUACGGGUUGACUUGAGGAAGGUAGGGGAGAAUGGAAUUCCUGGUGGAGCGGUGGAAUGCGCAGAUAUCAGGAGGAACACCAGUGGCGAAGGCGGUUCUCUGGGCCUUUCCUGACGCUGAGGAGCGAAAGCGUGGGGAGCGAACAGGCUUAGAUACCCUGGUAGUCCACGCUGUAAACGGUGGGUACUAGGUGUGGGGUCCAUUCCACGGGUUCCGUGCCGUAGCUAACGCUUUAAGUACCCCGCCUGGGGAGUACGGCCGCAAGGCUAAAACUCAAAGGAAUUGACGGGGCCCCGCACAAGCGGCGGAGCAUGCGGAUUAAUUCGAUGCAACGCGUAGAACCUUACCUGGGUUUGACAUGGAUCGGGAGUGCUCAGAGAUGGGUGUGCCUCUUUUGGGGUCGGUUCACAGGUGGUGCAUGCCUGUCGUCAGCUCGUGUCGCGAGGUGUUGGGUUAAGUCCCGCAACGAGCGCAACCCUUGUUCACUGUUGCCAGCACGUUAUGGUGGGGACUCAGUGGAGACCGCCGGGGUCAACUCGGAGGAAGGUGGGGAUGACGUCAAGUCAUCAUGCCCCUUAUGUCCAGGGCUUCACGCAUGCUACAAUGGCUGGUACAGAGAGUGGCGAGCCUGUGAGGGUGAGCGAAUCUCGGAAAGCCGGUCUCAGUUCGGAUUGGGGUCUGCAACUCGACCUCAUGAAGUCGGAGUCGCUAGUAAUCGCAGAUCAGCAACGCUGCGGUGAAUACGUUCCCGGGGCU